UGGCAUGGGUUACCAUGCCCUUCUCCAGGGGAGCUUCCUGACCCAGGGAUCGAACCCGUGUCUCCUGCAUUAGCAGGUGGAUUCUUUACCACUGAGCCACCUGGGAAACCCAGUAUCUCCUUAGACCAAGAAGGAGUCUUGGUCUAACUGGUUGCACUUGGGCCUCAUGCCAUCGCCUGAUAAGAGCUGGGUGGCAAGAGGUGGGGCCUGAAGGAGGGGCUUCUGUGGGUUCUGUGUGAGAGAGCAUCCCAUGUCGCACCACAGCCAUGUAAAAUGGAGAACAGGAAAUCUCCCUGAACGUAACAAGGGCUGUUAAGGAGGCAAUAAAGAAUGCUGGAAAGCCCGACAUCCCCACCCUCGCCCCCAGACAUCUACUAAGGAACCAGACAGAGGCAGGCAGACUUGUUUAGGAGGCCAUUGUCCAGAUAAGAGUGAGAGAAGUCUGAACUCAACCAGUGGAGAGGGAGUAGAUCCAGAACUUAGAGGAGAUUAAAAACCAGAAAUGAUGAUUGGCUUUUAGGAGGAGAGAGAGAGUGAAGACAAAGACUCCUGUGUGUCUUAGGUAGACAGUGGGGAGGCCCCUGGGAAGAUGGGGAGUGAGUUUGAGGGGCAAGACAGUGGUCUCAGAUACAGCCAAGGGGUCAGGAUCAUAGUCAGGUAGAGCCCAGCAGGCACUUGAGUCAAGGAUCAGGGGCUCAGAAAAAAAUUCCGCUGGGAGUACUGGCCUAAGGCCGUGGCCACUCAAGUAACAGGAACCCUGAGAAUGAGUAAGAUCACCAGAGAAAGAGAAUGGGACGGGGCCCAGGGCAGAAUCCUACGGUACAGUGACACUUGAAGUACCAAUCAAGGUGUGGGUAGGUGACAAAGGAGAAAGAGAAGGAAAGGCUUGAGACAUGCGACAACCAACCAGGUGAGUGGGUUGCCAUGGAAACCAAGGUAGUGAAGGGUUUCAAGGAGAAAGUAAUCAACACUGUCAAAUGCAGCAGAGAAUUCCAUUAAGAUAAAGACAGACUCCCCCCCCGCACCCCCGCCUUUGGAUCUGAUGAUUAGUAAGCUUUGGAUGCCCUCAAUAAGAGCAUUUUGGGGGAGUGAUGGGGCAAAACUUGAAUAAUGUUGAGAUGUGAGGAGGAGGUGAAUUCGUCACCGAGAGUUCUUUGAGGAGUCCGGAAGGAAGACUUGGAGAUGUGAAGGACAAGAGUGGGGAGGUUGAGCAAAGGGAAGACAGGAGCAAGUUCAUAGGCUGAUAUCCACUCCCAGAUUCGAUAAGUGUUGUUUAGUGACAAAGUUGAUUCAUUCCACAUAUUCUAGUUUACCACCUGUUUGUGCCUGGCAGUCUGCCCAGCAUUGUGGAUUCUGUGGUGAAUGAAUUGAAAUAGGCAGAUUUCUGUUCUUGUGGCAUUUAUAUGAUAGUAGGGGAGAAAGAUGUGAAUCACGUAAUCACACACAUAAAUGUGUGAUUUCCAACGUUGACAGAACACACUCUGAAAGAAAGGUAGCGAGUGCUGGAGGAUGUACAGGGCCCCUGCCCCAGGCCAACUCCAGAGGCUUCCCUGCAGCGGCGACACUUGAACCAAGCUGUUAAGGGGACAGAGUUCAUGGGACUGAACAGAUUCGAGAAGAGCCUUCUGGCCAGAGGGACCCGCCCGCCUGUGCACAGAGAGGCGCACUGAGGCCAGAGAGGCAGGCAGGGCUGGGUGGGCAGAGCUCUGGAGGCCGGGGCUGAGCUCCUGUGUACCUCCCGAGAGUGAGGGAAGCGUGUUUGAGACCUGCCUGAAUAUUUCCUGUGCUCUGAGACUGGCUGGUCCUGGAGAAGUCAUUAGAGGAAGCACAGGUGGACUUAGGGAGACAAGUUGGGAAGUUUCUGUUGUCCUGGUGGACAGUAUUUGGACAACACAUUCUGGUCGGUCUUGGUGCUGUAUGGAAGGAAGAUGAGUAAGGAGGGGAGGAGGUGUUCCAGACGACCCCUGAGUUUAGGGCUUGCCUUACUGGUGGUGUGGCAGUGCUUUCCUCAGAACUGGGGAGCCCUACAAAGAAAUGAGGUCUGUGAGGCAGACCCCCAAGUCUGGUGGUAGACAGCUGAGACAUGCAAGCUAGGAGCUGGGGAGGAAGUGGUUGAAUGCGUGGACCUGGAACCCAGAGUGAGAAAUCACAGAGACCGUUUCAGUACUCCUGCGGGAUCCUGAGUGAAAAUGUGAACUGAAAUGGUAUCAGGUUUCUGGAGCAUUCUGAGGAGAUGAGGGAGGCUGAGGAAGAAGAGGCCAAGCAUCAACAUUUGGGGGCCUGUAGAAAAAAAGAUCCUCUUGGGGCACGGAAAAGAAAGGGCGAGAGAGGUCUUUCAACAGAAAGAUGGAGUGGUCAGCAGUGGUUAUGUGCAGAAAGGUCAGAGGUCAAGGGCAAAUCCAGGAGCUCUUCUGAGGUGCAACUGCCCAAUCGCCAUGGCACCCCUGGAAUUGGGCAGUGUAGUGUCUCUCCCGAUUGGUACCCCCCCAGGGCCCAUGGGAGACCUCAGGGGACCGUAGCAGAGACAGCCUGCGUAGGGGGUGAUUAAGGAGAGAAGUGAGGGAGCAAAGUCUAAGGCCUUUAAAUGAAAUUUUAGUCUUCAAGGAAAUAGCAAUACUGGCAUACAGAUAUUCUGAGGGAAGGGAGCCUGAGUAAUGGAGUGAUUAAGGAUGGAGACAAUUAGUGAAAUGAGUUCCCACAGGGGUUGGGUUCAAGUGUAGUGGUGGAUAAAUUAGUUUGGGGCAAUAAUGUAUAUUUGACUGAAUGGGGCAAAACUUAAUUAUUUACCUUUUAGACAGUAUCUUGAUCUCCAUGUUCUUUGGGGAGCUUUUAUCUGACCUGUGUACCAAAUACAACUCCAAUUAGCACCACUUUUAUCCUGUCUCAGGGCUGGGAUCAUGUCUUAUUAUUUUUGGUGUUUCUCAGCACCUAGCAACAGGCAGUAAGGUCUUUGGGUGCCGAAUCAAUAUUAUCUGCCUUGGAAUGAAAAAUCUGAAGUCAACAUUCAAACUUUUUGACCAAAAAGAAUCUGUGAUAAUUCUCCAGAAGUACAGUGUGGGAAAGAAUUGGUAUAAAGUCCUGGUGGCAGGAGUUUGGGGUGGUGGAGGGUGGAGAGAGAGUACAAGAGUCAGCUGUCUUCAUCCUUAUACAUUCUGUCCCAUUUAUGCCUUUCACAUUCAUCCUCUCAUAUGAACUUCACCUCCCCCGGAAGAAGGAGAGCAUCACCUCCCAUCAUAGAGGAGGGAGCAGAAACCAGAGGAGGGGAACGUCCUCUAGUGGUCCAGUGGCCAAGAAUCCACCUCCCAGUGCAGGGGAUGUGGGUUCAACACCUCAGGGGAACUAAGAUCCCACAUGCCUCAGGGCGACUAAGCUCACACACCGCGAUGAAGACCUAGCAUAGUGCCCCCCUCCCCCCAAAAAAACCAGAAGGAAGUGCCUUGCUGACAUCGAGCACAAAUAACAGGAGCUGGAUUCAACCUCAGUCCGUCGAGGAUCACAGUCCGUCUUUCCAGGAUCAGGUUGAGCUGAGAGAAAGAGGAAGAGGAGUCUGUGAGGUGCAGGUGGACGCUCCACCUGGACAUGUGCGGAAGGUUGGAGGCACGCUCCGACAGGAGACCGGAUAUUAAAGCAUCAUAUAAAACUUCGGUGAUAACAUCUGCAAUGCUAGCACCAGAGCAGAUAGCUCAUCCGUCUUAAGAAGCCUCCCUACCUUGUGAAUGAUAUACACAUUCUACAUUUACACUGAAGACAUCUGUAUUUUUUUUCAAUGUUUGUCUUUAGACCCAUCUUAAAUGUAUUUUCACGUUUAAUGUGACAGAGAUCUAAUUUGAUCUUUUUCCGAACGGAUAACCAGGUGGCUAAGCACCAUUUAUUGUUCCAGCACUAUCUUUUCUCCCAGUUCCCUAUGUCUACACUCUGUUCAGGUCUGUUGAUCUGUUUGUCUACUUCUGGGCCAGCACCAGAUUUUAAUAAGCAAAAGCUUCAUCUUCCUACCUGAUCAGCUGAUUAUUACAACAUGAUGGAUUGACUAGUUCAUUCUCUCCACUGAGCUGAGAUGAAGCUCCCUCACACACUGAAUCGCCAUGUCUAGGUGCUGUUGGGUGAAAACAUGAUGCUUGGAGCUCUGACAGCCAUCUUGUGACCAGGAGGGGAAGGCCAGGAGAUGCAACUCUGUGCUGACUCCAGCUUGAGCACCUGGCACCACUGACUUCUGG
Molecule: long non-coding RNA, 4214 nt
Organism: Bos taurus (domestic cattle)
Lineage: Eukaryota; Metazoa; Chordata; Mammalia; Artiodactyla; Bovidae
Source: Ensembl